Molecule: small RNA, 46 nt
Filed under: Neorhodopirellula lusitana
Lineage: Bacteria; Pseudomonadati; Planctomycetota; Planctomycetia; Pirellulales; Pirellulaceae
Description: Rhodopirellula lusitana Acido-Lenti-1 RNA
Rfam family: Acido-Lenti-1 RNA
Source: RNAcentral
CGUCGGGUUGAAACCCGACGCUAUCGAAUGACACCGCUCCGCGGUU